CUUCUGUUUCUCUGUUUUCUUUUCUUCUUUUCUUUUUUUUUCUCUUCUGCAUCGCCCUUGUCUCCUUUUCUUUGGCGGAGAGAGGGGGUCUGAACCCACCCCACCGAGAAACAGGGGAGGAGAGGAAGGGGCCUCCGGGCCGACGGCGGCUGCAGCCGAGGACCGGCGGUGGCUGCGGCCGAGGGCAGGCGGCAAGGUGGAACGACAACCAGGUAAGCGUUCUUCCCCUUUUUUUUCUUUUCUUUUUUUUGUCUAAAUCCAGUGACCUUUUCCCGCAUUCCGGCCAUUACCGGGUCGAUCGGGAAGGGGGAAGAACGAGGGAGGAGAUGGGGACCUCACCUUGGCGCCGAGGAGGCGCUGCAGCCGCGAUUCUGGCGGCACGAAGACGGGUCACUGUCAGCCCAAGCAGAGGAAAUAAGAGGAAGGAAGAAAGGAAGCGAGGAGAGGAGAAGGGAGGAAGAUGGAUGAGGAAGAAGGGCUCGGUCGUCUUGGCAAACGGAGAGGAGAAGAAAUAGAGGGAGGAGACCGCGGAUUCCGCGAACUCCUCGCGCUAUCUUUCCAAAAUCGGAGGCUCGCCAGCGAGGAGAAUCCACCAGAAAGGAAAGAAGAGGGGCGGGGCUCCGGCGACAUCGCGCGGCCCUGCCCUCCCUUACAGCAAGGAUCGCGGCCAGCUGGGUUGACUUCCACACCCAAACAUAGGCCGAGGUGGGCGGGCCUCGAGCUAGUGCUCGCUCCUGGCAGCAUAUGAUGCGCCCGUGUUACUGAGAGAGCUAAUUUAUAUAGUUGGGCCUGCUAUGGUCCUAACAUGACACUUUGGUAGGUUAUAUGAAGCUCAAGAUCAGGCACAAGGCCCCUAAAGAUCCAGCUAUUCGGCAACUCAGCCACAGGCUUGUUCAACCAGACCACCUUCUAGGGUGUGCAAAAGGAGCAAAUCCAUCAAUGGCAGCAAAACUUGGGAGGGUUUAGUCUGAAAUUAUGUUGAAACCACAGGCAUCAUGAGCCACAACAAGAGUUGGCCAUGGCAAGUAAUAGGAAGAUGAGUCAUGCAUGAGAACGGAAGGCCAUGAUUGCUGAGUUGCAGCUCUGAUAUGCUUCUAUUGAGAUAAGGCGCUUUUGAGUUGGCCUUUUCUUUCUUUUCCCCCUUUGCAUCAGAAUCAUGUAGCAGUGUGUUGAUCCAGGAAAAUGCAGGAAGAAGCACGACAGCUGUUGAGAAAACAAGCGGCAGUCACAGAGGAGGCGGCCGCAGCGCUGGUGAUGGCAGCGGCGGAACGGCAGAUCAUCCAGUAAUGCAGGUGGAAGGAUAAUACCAAUUGUAGGAGGACGUCGAGGCAACGCAGGGAGUAGCAACUUAAAUCACCUGCUUGCUGUCUUUCUUGCUUGCGCUGUUCCUCUUGUUCUUGGUUUGACAUGAAUGGAAGAACAUAAAAAAGAAAAAAAAAUAUGGAAUCUACUUUAAUUCUUUGAUAA
This is a non-coding RNA of Phoenix dactylifera (date palm), 1467 nucleotides long. The record is from RefSeq and is a predicted model, not a curated record. Lineage: Eukaryota; Viridiplantae; Streptophyta; Magnoliopsida; Arecales; Arecaceae.